GGUUUAAUUAAAAUUAUAUUUAAAUAUAUAUAUUUGUUUUGUUUUAGUUUUUAAUUUAAAAUAAUUAUUUAAAUUAUAUAUAAAGUAAUGUAAAUGAAAAAGUUUUUAUUUUUAAUAAGUAAUUUUAAUUUAAUGUACCUUUUGUAUCAGGAUUUAUUUAAUUUUUUUUUUGUAUUUAAAGUUUUUCGAAUAAAAAAGAGUUAAAUAAUUAUAAAAUUUAAUGUUUAAUAAUUAUUUUUAAUAUUUAUUUAGUGAAGAUAUUUUAGUCAAUUUUUUAUAUAUCUAAUUUUUUUUGAUAUAAAUUUAAUUUAUAUAUAAGUUUUAUUAAUGGUAAAUAAUUAAUUUUUAUUAUUUUAAUUUAUAUAAAAAACUUAUGGGAUAAUCUGUGAGUUAUAUUAAAAUUUUAUUUUUUUAAAUUAAAUUUAAUAAUUUUAUAAAAAUAUUUUUCAUAUUGAAAAUUUUUUAAGAAAAUUUAAUAAUUUAUAAAAGAUUUUAAUAAUAUAAAAAUUUAAAAGUUAAUUUAAUUUUAUAAAAAAAUAUUUUUUUUAAUCAUUUUUAAUAAGAAAUAUUGAUGAAAUUAGUAUUUUUAAUCUUUUAAAUAAUAGAUAAAGGUAAUUUAAUUUUGUGUGAUUUAAUUUAUUUUUGAAGAAUUAGGCAAAUUUAAUUUAUAUUUUAAUUAAAAAUAUGAGGAUAUUUUUAGAGAAAUUUAUAAUUAAGUCCACCUGUUUAAUAAAAACAUGGUUUUAAGAAAAAAAUUUAAGAUUUAUUCUGCUCAAUGAUUUGUUAAUUAAAUAGCUGCAGUAUUUUUAACUGUACUAAGGUAGCAUAAUCAAUUGUCUUUUUAUUGAGGACUGGAAUGAAGGAAUGGAUGAGAUUUAAGCUAUUUUAAAAAUAAUAUAAUAAUUUAUAUUUUAAGUUAAAAUUCUUAAAUAAAAUUAUGGGACGAGAAGACCCUAUAGAAUUUUAUAUAAUUUUUUAAAAUUAUUCUUUAAAUAAUUAAAGAGUUUUAAAUUAUUAUAUUUUAUUGGGAGGAUAAUUAAAUUUAAUUAACUUUUUAUUAUUAAAUAAUUAUUUUUUAUGUUGUAGUUUUAAUUAAAAUAUAAGAAAUAAAAUAAACAUUAAUUAAUGGUUGUUUGAAUAAAUAAAUAUUAUUUAUAUUAGAAUUAAUUACCUUAGGGAUAACAGCGUAAUAGUUUUUUUGAGUUCUUAUUGGAAAAAUUGGUUGCGACCUCGAUGUUGAAUUAAAAUUUAGAUUAAAUGAAGAAGUUUAAUUAUUAAGUCUGUUCGACUAUUUAAAUUUUACAUGAUUUGAGUUUAGAUCGGUGUAAGCCAGAUCGGUUUCUAUCUAUAAUUAGUUUAAAUAAUUUUGUACGAAAGGACUUUUUAUUUGUAAUAAUUUUUUAAUAAGAAUAAUAAUAAAAUAUUUUUAAUGAGUUGA
RNAcentral lists this ribosomal RNA (1438 nucleotides) under Acropyga butteli. RNAcentral describes it as "16S ribosomal RNA". The record is from RNAcentral. Lineage: Eukaryota; Metazoa; Arthropoda; Insecta; Hymenoptera; Formicidae.